RNAcentral lists this ribosomal RNA (1552 nucleotides) under Salmonella enterica. Its description in RNAcentral is "bacterial SSU rRNA". It matches the Rfam family "Bacterial small subunit ribosomal RNA". The record is from RNAcentral. Lineage: Bacteria; Pseudomonadati; Pseudomonadota; Gammaproteobacteria; Enterobacterales; Enterobacteriaceae. RNAcentral also lists the same sequence under 1 other name.
AAAUUGAAGAGUUUGAUCAUGGCUCAGAUUGAACGCUGGCGGCAGGCCUAACACAUGCAAGUCGAACGGUAACAGGAAGCAGCUUGCUGCUUCGCUGACGAGUGGCGGACGGGUGAGUAAUGUCUGGGAAACUGCCUGAUGGAGGGGGAUAACUACUGGAAACGGUGGCUAAUACCGCAUAACGUCGCAAGACCAAAGAGGGGGACCUUCGGGCCUCUUGCCAUCAGAUGUGCCCAGAUGGGAUUAGCUAGUUGGUGAGGUAACGGCUCACCAAGGCGACGAUCCCUAGCUGGUCUGAGAGGAUGACCAGCCACACUGGAACUGAGACACGGUCCAGACUCCUACGGGAGGCAGCAGUGGGGAAUAUUGCACAAUGGGCGCAAGCCUGAUGCAGCCAUGCCGCGUGUAUGAAGAAGGCCUUCGGGUUGUAAAGUACUUUCAGCGGGGAGGAAGGUGUUGUGGUUAAUAACCGCAGCAAUUGACGUUACCCGCAGAAGAAGCACCGGCUAACUCCGUGCCAGCAGCCGCGGUAAUACGGAGGGUGCAAGCGUUAAUCGGAAUUACUGGGCGUAAAGCGCACGCAGGCGGUCUGUCAAGUCGGAUGUGAAAUCCCCGGGCUCAACCUGGGAACUGCAUUCGAAACUGGCAGGCUUGAGUCUUGUAGAGGGGGGUAGAAUUCCAGGUGUAGCGGUGAAAUGCGUAGAGAUCUGGAGGAAUACCGGUGGCGAAGGCGGCCCCCUGGACAAAGACUGACGCUCAGGUGCGAAAGCGUGGGGAGCAAACAGGAUUAGAUACCCUGGUAGUCCACGCCGUAAACGAUGUCUACUUGGAGGUUGUGCCCUUGAGGCGUGGCUUCCGGAGCUAACGCGUUAAGUAGACCGCCUGGGGAGUACGGCCGCAAGGUUAAAACUCAAAUGAAUUGACGGGGGCCCGCACAAGCGGUGGAGCAUGUGGUUUAAUUCGAUGCAACGCGAAGAACCUUACCUGGUCUUGACAUCCACAGAACUUUCCAGAGAUGGAUUGGUGCCUUCGGGAACUGUGAGACAGGUGCUGCAUGGCUGUCGUCAGCUCGUGUUGUGAAAUGUUGGGUUAAGUCCCGCAACGAGCGCAACCCUUAUCCUUUGUUGCCAGCGAUUAGGUCGGGAACUCAAAGGAGACUGCCAGUGAUAAACUGGAGGAAGGUGGGGAUGACGUCAAGUCAUCAUGGCCCUUACGACCAGGGCUACACACGUGCUACAAUGGCGCAUACAAAGAGAAGCGACCUCGCGAGAGUAAGCGGACCUCAUAAAGUGCGUCGUAGUCCGGAUUGGAGUCUGCAACUCGACUCCAUGAAGUCGGAAUCGCUAGUAAUCGUGGAUCAGAAUGCCACGGUGAAUACGUUCCCGGGCCUUGUACACACCGCCCGUCACACCAUGGGAGUGGGUUGCAAAAGAAGUAGGUAGCUUAACCUUCGGGAGGGCGCUUACCACUUUGUGAUUCAUGACUGGGGUGAAGUCGUAACAAGGUAACCGUAGGGGAACCUGCGGUUGGAUCACCUCCUUACCUUAAAGAA